AUGCGCAAUGGAUAGCGCGUUGGACUUCUAAUUCAAAGGUAGUGGGUUCGAAUAUUCUACUUGAACUA
Non-coding RNA from Trichonephila clavipes, 68 nucleotides. The record is from the annotation of a GenBank genome assembly. Lineage: Eukaryota; Metazoa; Arthropoda; Arachnida; Araneae; Nephilidae.